ACAGCAGCAGCCGCGGUAAUACCGAGGGUGCGAGCGUUAAUCGGAUUUACUGGGCGUAAAGCGUGCGUAGGCGGCUUCUUAAGUCGGAUGUGAAAUCCCUGAGCUUAACUUAGGAAUUGCAUUCGAUACUGGGAAGCUAGAGUAUGGGAGAGGAUGGUAGAAUUCCAGGUGUAGCGGUGAAAUGCGUAGAGAUCUGGAGGAAUACCGAUGGCGAAGGCAGCCAUCUGGCCUAAUACUGACGCUGAGGUACGAAAGCAUGGGGAGCAAACAGGAUUAGAGACCCCAGUAGUCCCUGUCUCUUAUAC
This 305-nucleotide ribosomal RNA is filed under the name uncultured bacterium. RNAcentral describes it as "partial 16S ribosomal RNA". It matches the Rfam family "Bacterial small subunit ribosomal RNA", at positions 505 to 807 of the family's 1533-position model. The record is from RNAcentral.